RNAcentral lists this transfer RNA (87 nucleotides) under Aeromonas caviae. Its description in RNAcentral is "tRNA-Leu". It matches the Rfam family "tRNA". Rfam says of the family: Transfer RNA (tRNA) molecules are approximately 80 nucleotides in length. Their secondary structure includes four short double-helical elements and three loops (D, anti-codon, and T loops). Lineage: Bacteria; Pseudomonadati; Pseudomonadota; Gammaproteobacteria; Aeromonadales; Aeromonadaceae. RNAcentral also lists the same sequence under 1 other name. The record is from RNAcentral.
GCCCGAGUGGUGAAAUCGGUAGACACAAGGGAUUUAAAAUCCCUCGACGUUCGCGUCAUGCCGGUUCGAUUCCGGCCUCGGGCACCA